RNAcentral lists this long non-coding RNA (355 nucleotides) under Polistes fuscatus (common paper wasp). RNAcentral's name for it is "uncharacterized LOC122526438". The record is from RNAcentral. Lineage: Eukaryota; Metazoa; Arthropoda; Insecta; Hymenoptera; Vespidae.
CAAGAAACGAAACUAAUUGCGGCCUUCAAAUCGAUGCACAGGAAGAAGAAGGACGUUUUAUUUUUACGAAAGAGGACGACGAUAGAUCGGAGGAGAAAGUCAAACGAUCUGAAGCGGUUCUUAGUUACGCAGGAAGACGAAAAGUGGAAGAUCGAGGUCGAUAAGCGUUGUCUAGAGAAGAAGAGAAGAGAAGAGAAGAGUACGAGGCCCUGUGUGCGGGAAGUUCAACCGGAGAGCGGAGAUCUCCGACAAUGAGACCGAAAAGGAAGAUAUAACUUUACUCUCAUCGUAAAAAGAUGUAUAAAAAUAUAAAGAUAGAAAGGAAAAAAGAGUAACAAAUAGAAAAAGAAAGAAA